GGUUGUUUGCAACACUAUUGUAACUUUGGAACGGUCUUGUCCCGUGUAUGAUACACGAAGGUCAGCAACUUUGGCAUCCCAUAAGGCUGAAUCCUCGGCGUGAUAUGGGACAGCCUUGGCUAUGCAUUGCUGACAUAUGUGCACCACGUGCGGCUCCCAACCUAAUUGCUUUAAGGGUGAUGUUGGACGCAAGUGGUGGUAUCUUAAUGGCUGCCUUGCGUGUCGCCUUGCCAACGACCUUUCGCCAUGAUCUUGGAAAAUGUGCAUAUCGCAAUUCGCCUUGGAUGGUGUGGGUUUAACCCGUGGGCCACGUCGCUGACAAUCUCCGGCAGUCGGGUGGCCAUACAGAGUCACGAAGCUUUGCGUGUACUGAAUGGUUCGUGCCUGGUACUUGACAUGGAGGUAAAACUUUUGCUCAACACGACAGUACAAGCCACCUGCCUGCGAGGAUUUCCCGGAAGGGCAGCACUUGUAUAGUGUAAGUGUGAAAAGGGGGCAUGAACACUUGGAGACAAUGUCAACGAUCAGCUUCCUAAACAGGAAUUGUCUCCAGGGUAUCGGAGGUGUGCUAAGUGGGGACGAAUUCUGCGCAAAGGAUCGAUGGCCGAUUGUGGCAUAAAAACCUAUCUCGUGUUAGCCGUGACGGGAUAGAUGUGAAUAAUAGGUAUUAAAUCGUUAUUUUGGGGAUUUGCCCGCUUCGUUGGGAAGCUAAGCUGCGUAUCAAACUACUGCACCCGAUAUCAACAUGGGUAUAUGGAAAUAAAUGCAAGCCUUCUGGAAAUAUGUUCUUGCAAGAGAAUCCAUCUAGAAUGUGACAACUUGAAGAGCGGUUCCGUCUUGGGGGGGCUUGGUUCCUGAGCAUGCGAAACAUGAUAUGCCUACUCGUUAUUCCGCGUGUCAGCAGUGGGGGCUAAUACUCAUGGAGAUUGCUACCAAGCCGCGCGCCAAAGCAGUAAGCAUAAGCGGGCAGUGUUCGGAGUAAAGCUAUUAUCUCCGGAACGAAAAGGAAGCCUAGAGGUCAGCUUUAAGAUGCCGGUAGUUGGCAGAUGGGGAACGAAUCAUAUGGCGUUCUCGGAUGACUGCCGAUAGACAACUGGAGUCCCGGUUGUCCGGGCUCUUAUAAACCAAAGCGGGGAUGUCUUUACACAUUGGUCAAAUGUGGGCAUGUGGUGCCAGCUCAAC
Neurospora crassa OR74A is the source of this 1182-nucleotide non-coding RNA. The record is from RefSeq and is a predicted model, not a curated record. Lineage: Eukaryota; Fungi; Ascomycota; Sordariomycetes; Sordariales; Sordariaceae.